Molecule: ribosomal RNA, 443 nt
Filed under: Sneathiella sp.
Lineage: Bacteria; Pseudomonadati; Pseudomonadota; Alphaproteobacteria; Sneathiellales; Sneathiellaceae
Description: partial 23S ribosomal RNA
Rfam family: Bacterial large subunit ribosomal RNA
Source: RNAcentral
GGGAUAACAGGCUGAUGACGCCCAAGAGUCCAUAUCGACGGCGUUGUUUGGCACCUCGAUGUCGACUCAUCGCAUCCUGGGGCUGGAGCAGGUCCCAAGGGUUUGGCUGUUCGCCAAUUAAAGAGGUACGUGAGCUGGGUUUAGAACGUCGUGAGACAGUUCGGUCCCUAUCUGCCGUGGGUGUAGGAUAUUUGAGAGGAGCUGCCCCUAGUACGAGAGGACCGGGGUGGACGUACCUCUGGUGGACCUGUUGUCACGCCCGUGGCACUGCAGGGUAGCUAAGUACGGAAGGGAUAACCGCUGAAAGCAUCUAAGCGGGAAGCCCCCCUCAAAACCAGAUAUCCCUUGAGAGCCGUGGAAGACCACCACGUUGAUAGGCUGGAGGUGGAAGAGUGGUAACACUUGGAGCUGACCAGUACUAAUAACUCGAUCGAGUUUGAUCU